This 379-nucleotide unclassified non-coding RNA is filed under the name uncultured Oligoflexales bacterium. Its description in RNAcentral is "contains 16S-23S intergenic spacer region". The record is from RNAcentral. Lineage: Bacteria; Pseudomonadati; Bdellovibrionota; Oligoflexia; Oligoflexales.
UCCGUGUUAACCACGGCAGUCUCUCUAGAGAGCCCAACUUAAUGCUGGCAACUAAAGAUAAGGGUUGCGCUCGUUGCGGGACUUAACCCAACAUGUCACCACACGAGCUGACGACAGCCAUGCAGCACCUGUCUCGCUGUCCCCUUGCGGGGAAGAGUGUAUCUCUACACCUGUCAGCGGAUGUCAAACCCAGGUAAGGUUUUUCGCGUUGCUUCGAAUUAAACCACAUGAUCCACCGCUUGUGCGGGCCCCCGUCAAUUCCUUUGAGUUUUAGUCUUGCGACCGUACUUCCCAGGCGGGGUACUUAGUGCGUUAGCGCCGAUUCAGCGGGGGUCAAGACCCACCAAAUCUAGUACCCAUCGUUUACAGCGUGGACUAC